This 28-nucleotide non-coding RNA is filed under the name Homo sapiens (human). Lineage: Eukaryota; Metazoa; Chordata; Mammalia; Primates; Hominidae. The record is from RNAcentral.
CAAGGUCACACAGAUAGUAAAUGUCAUC